Serinus canaria (Common canary) is the source of this 590-nucleotide long non-coding RNA. RefSeq lists it as uncharacterized. The transcript is spliced from 2 exons. The record is from RefSeq and is a predicted model, not a curated record. Lineage: Eukaryota; Metazoa; Chordata; Aves; Passeriformes; Fringillidae.
UCGGGCUGGUUUCGGGGUGCCUGCAGUGGCUGCUGAGGCUCCUGUCUCCGUCUCGCUCCGAGCGCACGCACACCUCUUGGGCUGGUUACUGUAGAAACGAAAUUAGCACGGGGAGAGAAUGCAAUCCCAGAGCUAAUUAAGCGGUGCCUUCCCAAAACCCAUGGAUUUGGAGCUGAUUUCUGGCACUGGUCGAGACGGGAGCCAGGAGAAUGUGGCCAAACGUGUUCGUGCCGAAAGUGCCCGGUGGCCCAGCUGCAGGAGGGGCUGGGACCGCGGGGGCUCCGCUGCCCGGGGACCCGGGGGCUGGCGGGGGCCAGCGCUGGGGACAGAAGCUCCGAGUGCCGCGGUGUGUCAGCAGCAGCGCCGGGAGCGGGCGGUGAUUCACCGCUUCCCAGCAGCUGAUAUUUAUUACUCAGCCUCGCUGCGGGGCCGACAUGAAAUGUGGUACAGGGAGGGGGAACAAACACCGAGCGGAGCGGGGGACGGCAGCGUCGCCCGUGAAACCUGAUGGGUUUCCCCAUCCUCCCCCUCCCGCUGCUCUCUCCGGCUGGUGGAUUUUGAUGGAGGAAAAUAAAGGCUCACAAAAAUCA